Molecule: ribosomal RNA, 918 nt
Filed under: uncultured Bacillota bacterium
Lineage: Bacteria; Bacillati; Bacillota
Description: bacterial SSU rRNA
Rfam family: Bacterial small subunit ribosomal RNA
Source: RNAcentral
CAAGUCGAACGCGAAAUUUCCCUUCGGGGAGAAAGUAGAGUGGCGCACGGGUGAGUAACACGUAGGUAAUCUACCUUCGGAUGGGGAAUAACAAUCGGAAACGGUUGCUAAUACCGCAUAAUGCAGCGGCACCUAAUGGUGACAGUUGUUAAAGCGGGGGAUCGAAAGACCUCGCGUCUGAAGAGGAGCCUGCGGCGGAUUAGCUAGUUGGUAAGGUAAUGGCUUACCAAGGCUACGAUCCGUAACCGGCCUGAGAGGGCGGUCGGUCACACUGACACUGACAUACGGGUCAGACUCCUACGGGAGGCAGCAGUCGGGAAUUUUGGGCAAUGGGCGAAAGCCUGACCCAGCAACGCCGCGUGAAGGAUGAAAUCCCUCGGGAUGUAAACUUCGCAAGAACAGGAAGAAUAAGUAGGGGACAAUACCCUCUAUGAUGACGGUACUGUUUGUAAGCUCCGGCUAACUCCGUGCCAGCAGCCGCGGUAAUACGGGGGGAGCAAGCGUUGUUCGGAUUUACUGGGCGUAAAGGGCGCGUAGGCGGUCAGCACAAGUCAGUUGUGAAAUCUCCGAGCUUAACUCGGAAAGGUCAACUGAUACUGUGCGACUAGAGUGCAGAAGGGGCAACUGGAAUUCUCGGUGUAGCGGUGAAAUGCGUAGAUAUCGAGAGGAACACCUGCGGCGAAGGCGGGUUGCUGGGCUGACACUGACGCUGAGGCGCGAAAGCUAGGGGAGCGAACGGGAUUAGAUACCCCGGUAGUCCUAGCCUUAAACGAUGAAUGCUUGGUGUCUGGGGUUAUAAAGUCCCCGGGUGCCGUCGCUAACGCUUUAAGCAUUCCGCCUGGGGAGUACGGUCGCAAGACUGAAACUCAAAGGAAUUGACGGGGACCCGCACAAGCGGUGGAGCAUGUGGUUUAAUUC